This 465-nucleotide ribosomal RNA is filed under the name uncultured Klebsiella sp. RNAcentral's name for it is "bacterial SSU rRNA". It matches the Rfam family "Bacterial small subunit ribosomal RNA", at positions 338 to 795 of the family's 1533-position model. The record is from RNAcentral. Lineage: Bacteria; Pseudomonadati; Pseudomonadota; Gammaproteobacteria; Enterobacterales; Enterobacteriaceae.
CCUACGGGGGGCUGCAGUGGGGAAUAUUGCACAAUGGGCGCAAGCCUGAUGCAGCCAUGCCGCGUGUGUGAAGAAGGCCUUCGGGUUGUAAAGCACUUUCAGCGGGGAGGAAGGCGUUAAGGUUAAUAACCUUGGCGAUUGACGUUACCCGCAGAAGAAGCACCGGCUAACUCCGUGCCAGCAGCCGCGGUAAUACGGAGGGUGCAAGCGUUAAUCGGAAUUACUGGGCGUAAAGCGCACGCAGGCGGUCUGCCAAGUCGGAUGUGAAAUCCCCGGGCUCAACCUGGGAACUGCAUUCGAAACUGGCAGGCUAGAGUCUUGUAGAGGGGGGUAGAAUUCCAGGUGUAGCGGUGAAAUGCGUAGAGAUCUGGAGGAAUACCGGUGGCGAAGGCGGCCCCCUGGACAAAGACUGACGCUCAGGUGCGAAAGCGUGGGGAGCAAACAGGAUUAGAUACCCGAGUAGUC